RNAcentral lists this ribosomal RNA (520 nucleotides) under uncultured Glomus. RNAcentral describes it as "SSU rRNA". It matches the Rfam family "Eukaryotic small subunit ribosomal RNA", at positions 569 to 1089 of the family's 1831-position model. Lineage: Eukaryota; Fungi; Glomeromycota; Glomeromycetes; Glomerales; Glomeraceae. The record is from RNAcentral.
CGCAGCCGCGGUAAUUCCAGCUCCAAUAGCGUAUAUUAAAGUUGUUGCAGUUAAAAGCUCGUAGUUGAAUUUCGGGAUCAGUAGGUUGGUCAUGCCUUUGGUAUGUACUGGUCUCACUGAUUCCUCCCUCUUGAAGAACUGUAAUGUCAUUAAUUUGGUGUUGCGGGGAAUCAGGACUGUUACUUUGAAAAAAUUAGAGUGUUUAAAGCAGGCUUACGCUUGAAUACAUUAGCAUGGAAUAAUGAAAUAGGACGUUUGAUCCUAUUUUGUUGGUUUCUAGGAUUGACGUAAUGAUUAAUAGGGAUAGUUGGGGGCAUUAGUAUUCAAUUGUCAGAGGUGAAAUUCUUGGAUUUAUUGAAGACUAACUACUGCGAAAGCAUUUUGCCAAGGAUGUUUUCAUUAAUCAAGAACGAAAGUUAGGGGAUCGAAGACGAUCAGAUACCGUCGUAGUCUUAACCAUAAACUAUGCCGACUAGGGAUCGGAUGAUGUUAAUUUUUUUAAUGACUCAUUCGGCACCUU